GACGAACGCUGGCGGCGUGCUUAACACAUGCAAGUCGAACGGAAAGGCCCUGCUUUUGUGGGGUGCUCGAGUGGCGAACGGGUGAGUAACACGUGAGUAACCUGCCCUUGACUUUGGGAUAACUUCAGGAAACUGGGGCUAAUACCGGAUAGGAGCUCCUGCUGCAUGGUGGGGGUUGGAAAGUUUCGGCGGUUGGGGAUGGACUCGCGGCUUAUCAGCUUGUUGGUGGGGUGAUGGCCUACCAAGGCGUCGACGGGUAGCCGGCCUGAGAGGGUGACCGGCCACAUUGGGACUGAGAUACGGCCCAG
RNAcentral lists this ribosomal RNA (308 nucleotides) under uncultured bacterium. Its description in RNAcentral is "bacterial SSU rRNA". It matches the Rfam family "Bacterial small subunit ribosomal RNA", at positions 28 to 334 of the family's 1533-position model. The record is from RNAcentral.